GACGUAGGGUGCGAGCGUUGUCCGGAGUUACUGGGCGUAAAGGGCUCGUAGGCGGCCAACUAAGUCGGACGUGAAAUCCCUAGGCUCAACUUGGGAACUGCGUCCGAUACUGGAUGGCUUGAAUUCGGGAGAGGGAUGUGGAAUUCCAGGUGUAGCGGUGAAAUGCGUAGAUAUCUGGAGGAACAUCGGUGGCGAAGGCGACAUCCUGGACCGGUAUUGACGCUGAGGCGCGAAAGCCAGGGGAGCAAACAGG
RNAcentral lists this ribosomal RNA (253 nucleotides) under uncultured bacterium. Its description in RNAcentral is "partial 16S ribosomal RNA". It matches the Rfam family "Bacterial small subunit ribosomal RNA", at positions 524 to 776 of the family's 1533-position model. The record is from RNAcentral.